CCUACGGGUGGCUGCAGUGAGGAAUAUUGGUCAAUGGACGAGAGUCUGAACCAGCCAAGUAGCGUGAAGGAUGACUGCCCUAUGGGUUGUAAACUUCUUUUAUAAAGGAAUAAAACGAGGCACGUGUGCCUUUUGGCAAGUACUUUAUGAAUAAGGAUCGGCUAACUCCGUGCCAGCAGCCGCGGUAAUACGGAGGAUUCGAGCGUUAUCCGGAUUUAUUGGGGUUAAAGGGAGCGUAGAUGGGUUGUUAAGUCAGUUGUGAAAGUUUGCGGCUCAACCGUAAAAUUGCAAUUGAUACUGGCAGCCUUGAGUACAGGUGAGGUAGGCGGAAUUCGUGGUGUAGCGGUGAAAUGCAUAGAUAUCACGAAGAACCCCGAUUGCGAAGGCAGCUUACUAACCUGUGACUGACAUUGAUGCUCGAAAGUGUGGGUAUCAAACAGGAUUAGAUACCCCUGUAGUC
This 460-nucleotide ribosomal RNA is filed under the name uncultured bacterium. RNAcentral's name for it is "partial 16S ribosomal RNA". It matches the Rfam family "Bacterial small subunit ribosomal RNA", at positions 338 to 795 of the family's 1533-position model. The record is from RNAcentral.